Molecule: ribosomal RNA, 468 nt
Filed under: uncultured bacterium
Lineage: Bacteria
Description: partial 16S ribosomal RNA
Rfam family: Bacterial small subunit ribosomal RNA
Source: RNAcentral
GACGAACGCUGGCGGCGUGCUUAACACAUGCAAGUCGAACGGAAAGGCCCUGCUUUUGUGGGGUGCUCGAGUGGCGAACGGGUGAGUAACACGUGAGUAACCUGCCCUUGAUUUUGGGAUAACUUCAGGAAACUGGGGCUAAUACCGGAUAGGAGCUCCUGCUGCAUGGUGGGGGUUGGAAAGUUUCGGCGGUUGGGGAUGGACGCGCGGCUUAUCAGCUUGUUGGUGGGGUAAUGGCUUACCAAGGCUUUGACGGGUAGCCGGCCUGAGAGGGUGACCGGCGACAUUGGGACUGAGAUACGGCCCAGACUCCUACGGGAGGCAGCAGUGGGGAAUAUUGCACAAUGGGCGGAAGCCUGAUGCAGCAACGCCGCGUGCGGGAUGACGGCCUUCGGGUUGUAAACCGCUUUCGCCUGUGACGAAGCGUGAGUGACGGUAAUGGGUAAAGAAGCACCGGCUAACUACGUG